AAAUAUUAUUUAAAUCUUCAGAAAUGACCCACAAUUUCACCUGUCAAUGGUGCCUAAGCCACGCAUAGGUAAGAGAGCCCUUCAUGCAAAAUGGUAGAUGCCCCCUUUCCUAUUGGCAGGGAGACACUCGGGGCUUUCCAGGAUCAAGUAGGAAACCUGAUAAAAUGAAAUAAACAGUCGUGCUACAAGAAUUCUACAUCAAAAAGUUUUUGUUGCCCCAAGACUGAAUAUCCUGAGGUUCAUUUAUUCAGCUUCCAAGGCACAAACUCUCAAUGUCAACUGCUAAAAAAAGGUGUUUGGGAUUUAUAAAAAGAAGCAAAACCAAAGAAUGCAUGACCAAAACAGGACAUGGAUAAAAAAACCUUCCUUCAGAACUGUGUGAGGUGCCUGGGUGUCCACAUUUGCAAAACGGGGCCGAUUCUGGUCAAUAAUGAUAAGGAGAACUGGCUUGAGCCAAUCUGCGUCUGAAUUUGCCUGAUAAAAUUUGUUUUUGUGGAAGUGCACAUGAUAGCAGUUAGAGUGAGAGGGCUGUUUACGGAUGGAGGCCGAGGCGGAUUGCUAUCCCUGCCUGAAAUCAGGGGAAGAACAGGGCUGUCAUUAGGUUGUGGGCCAUAAUGGUUUGCAGCACAUUGGCCAGACUGGUGAGGAUGAAUCUGUUCUAAGUUUAGUUUUCACUUAACGUAAAUCAGAAGCAAUUAUUAAAUUAAGUUACUUCAAGUAUUUAAAUAUUUACUGAAAUAAGAAAAGGGAGGAUCUUUGCCGAGCUUUGGGAACUCAAGAGUCUUCCUCUGAUAGUAGUUACUUACCACUUUUUUUCACAAGAUGACGUAAGGUGGUUAUUUUUUUCUUCUAAUUUUGCAACAUCCCACAGUGAAACUGCCACCUACGUUUCAUGGAGCAGUUCUGGUCGGGGAGAUGUGAUAAAUCUAGUUGAACCAUGCUCUGUCCCCCGUUGGAACUGUUCAACAGUGCAGGAGGAAGCUUCAUGACUCCAAAAAAGGCUGAGAGACAUCCAUCCAGAGACUUCCAGCCUUAGCAGAAGCUUGGGCAACUGGUGGCACUUAGACCCUCAGUAAAUCACUGCACAUCCCUAAUCCAACAAAGAUGAGGACUGGAAGAAUAUUACAAGAUAAAAUCAGAUUGGUCAAAUGUCUUAGCAAACGACAAAACUCUCUUACAACUCAGAAAAAAGUCCUGGAGAAGUUCUUUUGGAAAAUUACACACUUCCCAGUGUGGAAAGUCUACUCAUUUAUGUGUAUGUUUUCUUCAUUCCGUGUCUUGUACGUGGGGAGCAGAAGGAAGUUUGUGAGAUCUCAAAUCAGUUCCAAUAGAUUUGUGUAAGUAGAGUGGGGAAUCUAAUACUUUGUGGCACAAAAUUGGGAUUAAAACAUAUGGUCUGGAUACAGACCGUCCUUUUGGGCUGCCACUGUGUAAAGGGCCAGUGGUUUGUUGUAAAAACGGAAAGAAAACUCCUAAAGAAAAGCUUGUGUUUUGUUUUAUUUUGUCCUUUGCUGUGAUUUUUGCACUGUUUGAACACUGAGCUGAAGAAGGCUGUCUCCCAGUUUUCAGCAUCCUUUUGCAGUUCACGAGUGAGGGGGUGUCUGCCUGGAGGCUGGCAGGGCCGCGCGUGCCGUACCCCCCUGCAUCUGCAAGGGCUGUAAGCAGACACCGCCGCUGAAAAUAGGAUCCACAAAAGGUGUUGCCAAGUGAGUGUGCGUGUGAAAACAGUUUUGUGCAGUGCAGUUUCAAACUCCUCUGUCUGGUAUGGAGAAAGAAGAAAUCAGAACUAUUCCUAUUAUUGUAAAUUAACUUUUGUAGUUAUUUACACCUACCUUGAAAGGGAAAAUCUUUGGAGCUAGUUUAUUUUGUGUGUAUCAGAGCUGACAGCACUCACAUUCUUCUGUGUCUAGACACAAUGAACUUCAAAUGUUCCACAGUUCUGGGGUUAACAACCUCCUGCCUUUAGAAGGAUAAAAAGUGUUAAUAAUCCACAGAAUGCAGUGGGUGUUUACUAUUAUAUUCUACUUCCUGUUACUGCGGUCUAAAAAAGAAAAAGUCACUGAGCUAAUUAAAUUAUAUAAGGAAGACAUUAAAAACCAAUAUUAAAAGAAAAUAGGUUUUGACUACUGUCUGUAUUUAUGCUGAAAUGAUGAUGAGUAAUAGGAUUCAGGUUUCAUUUGUUCAACAUCCACAAGAUAAUGUGCGUGCUCAGCAAAAGAAAAAUACACAUCCAGGCACCAAACUGCUACCUGGAAGCAAUUUCACACCGAAUGACAACAUAUGAAGCUUGGUUUUUCACACUGGAUGAACUUCUGGCUCACCAUUGCCUGGCUUUGUCACUAACAGCCCAGGGCAGUAAGUGAAACAGAACUAAGAGUUUGAUGCUGUUGUAAAAGCAGAGUGAAGCAGCAGCCAGUGCCUGCUGGAAGCACAACGUUCCUUCCAGCACAAUGCAAAGAAACUGCAAAGUCAUUUCGCUGAAAUUUUAAUGAACUUAAAUGAGACCAGUGCUGUUUGAUGGACUUUACGCGAUGCUCGGAAGCUCCCCCUCUCGCAGAAUGACUUGUCGUGGCUUGGCUUGGUUUGGUUAUUUUCAUUAGCACUUUGCAUCUGCCUCUUCUGAAUGCCAGGGUGGAUGCAGCUGAGCAAAAAUAACCCGGCUUGUGCUUGACUUUGUUCCAAGCUGGGAAGGGCCACGCUCUGAGCCCCAGAGAGGGAUCUCUGCCGCCGUGUGACGUCGUGGUGAAAUAACGAUGGGCACAGGCCUGUCACAGCAUUGGCUUCAGACAUCCAGUCCUAGAAGUUCUCUUCUCCAGGUGUUAAGAGUUAUGUCCUUCCUAUUGCUGUCGUUACCCACACAAACCCAAAUGAAUAAUUUCUGUCUUCUGGAUAUUUUCAAGAAAAGUAUUCUUUUUCCUCUCUUGCUGCUCCAGUUUUGGCCCUCGUUUGAUCCUCAGACAAGUCUAAACUACCUUUGUUUUGACUUGAUGCCUGGGCCAACUUUUAAUGUCAGUGUCAUAUAAAGAGAUAUCUGCAUUUCCAGUGUUGGACUGGCCCAGAGCAGGGUUUCAGGCGAUGUAGUUUUAUGUGGUAUGAACUAUUAGCUCAAAAUGUGCAUGUUUAAUCCCUGGUUCUGAGUAUUAGUAUUUAAUUUCUUAAAAGUCAGAGCCUACUCUAAAAAAAAAAGGCACUGAAGUCCCAAGCAAGAUUUGCAAGAGGCAGUGGACAGAGGGCAUGUUGCUAUCAUGGGUAAAUGAUCUGAGGUGUAGGGAUUUAGUGCCACAGGACAUCAGAAACCAAAGUAGUAGCAGUUAAAGAAAGGUGUGUCUGGAGUAGCAGAGGAUGCCCAUCAAUCCAGGGAGGGAAUGCAGUACGGAAGAGCGAGGAGGGAGCUCACAGGUAGGAAGAAGUUAGCAGUGCAUCUCUUGGAAAAUUUUAACCAAAAAAAAAAAAAGUGAAAGGCUUAUUUCUGUUCUUAUAGGAUUACCUGAUGCAAUCUAAAGCACAAAAUAAUUCAUUUCAGGAAGAGAUUGCUUGUCAGCUCAAGGUGCUCUGCUGUCGGGAGUUCCAAAAGCAGGUUUCUGUCUUGCCAUGCUUUACUUUUUGAAGGCCCCGAUGCAGCAAAGUGCUUGGGCAGGUAUUUUAUUCAGUACCUGAAUGGAAGGGAUAGAGGAAUGACUUUAAAUAGGUGGCUUAAUCUCUGCUUUUCAAGAGAGGAGGGAGUUAAGAAGAAAGUUUCUGCUAAUUUGUUGGCAGAACAAUAAUUUAAAACAUCCUGUAUACAUAUAUUUUCAGGUUUCUCUGAAAAGUCCCACCUGUAGAGCAACAGUUUUAUUUUUAUAUAUGUAAAUUACAUUAUAUGUGUGUUUGUUGUAUAUGUUGUUAUUAUAUAUCUAGAUAUAUAAAGAAACUGCAGAUAAAUACAGAGUCUCAGUGCCCUAGGGGUGAAGUACUAAGAACGUUGAUAUGUCACUGUCAGGAUCUCCACGUCAAUUGUUCUCCCAAGUGGAUCAUAUUCAACUCCCUCAAAAAAUCAGAGGAACCUUUUCUAUUACUUUAGUCAUAGGCACCGACUUUAAGAAAUUAAAUACUAAUACUCAAAAUCAGGGAUUAAACAUGCACAUUUUGAUGUAUGCAAGACAUAACCAGUAAUUGAUACCAAGUACUUGGCCUCAGCAGAACAACAAAGGAGAGUGGGCAAAGUGUUCCCAGUGCCCAAAGUGGCUGGUUCUGACACCCCUAUACCUUAGCCUAUUGUGAAGUUUAGAUGUAAGUAAUUUUUGUUAAUGUUGAAGCCGUUUCAUAUCCCAGAAAUACUCCAGUGCUCACAGAGCUACAGAGCCUGGCAGAAGGACAGUUUAGAUUUGGAGCCGGUGGAUCCGUGCACACCAAUAACAAUCACAAAUACAGUGGCUUUGGUGUAUAAAAUCAAAGUAUGCUGAUCCAGAUCAGUUUGCAGGACUGGAAACUUUGAACAAAAUCACAAGUUCCGCUUGAUGGAACCAUUUUUGAGCAACUUUUAAUUCAUGUGACAAACGUUUGAAGAAUUGAACAGUUUUAUCAUUAAAUGAUGUUUUCUUUUAAAUGAAAAUAAAAGAUGUUUUCUAAAUGCACGACAAUAAAGGCUGAUAUCUUAGUUA
Molecule: long non-coding RNA, 4640 nt
Organism: Calidris pugnax (ruff)
Lineage: Eukaryota; Metazoa; Chordata; Aves; Charadriiformes; Scolopacidae
Exons: 2
Source: RefSeq, a predicted model, not a curated record